AUACAUGCAGUCGAGCGGCAAGUCGAGGAGUAAUCUAAGACCUAGAGCGGCGCACGGGCGCGUAACGCGUAUGCAACCUACCUCAUACAGGGGGAUAGCCCGGAGAAAUCUGGAUUAAUACCCCAAGGUACUGCGAAGAGGCAUUUCUUUGUAGUUAAAGAUUCAUCGGUAUGAGAUGGGCAUGCGUCUGAUUAGCUAGUUGGCGGUGUAACGGACCACCAAGGCGACGAUCAGUAGGGGUUCUGAGAGGAAGGUCCCCCACACUGGCACUGAGAUACGGGCCAGACUCCUACGGGAGGCAGCAGUAGGGAAUAUUGGGCAAUGGACGAGAGUCUGACCCAGCCAUGCCGCGUGCAGGAAGACGGCGUUCUGCGUUGUAAACUGCUUUUAUCUGGGAAGAAAAGGCCCAUGCGUGGGACAUUGCCGGUACCAGAUGAAUAAGCACCGGCUAACUCCGUGCCAGCAGCCGCGGUAAUACGGAGGGUGCAAGCGUUGUCCGGAUUUAUUGGGUUUAAAGGGUGCGUAGGCGGCUAUUUAAGUCAGCGGUGAAAGACAUCGGCUCAACCGAUGCAGUGCCAUUGAUACUGGAUAGCUUGAGUGUUGGAGGGGUACAUGGAAUUGAUGGUGUAGCGGUGAAGUGCAUAGAUACCAUCAGGAACACCGAUAGCGAAAGCAUUGUACUGGCCAACAACUGACGCUGAGGCACGAAAGCAUGGGGAGCGAACAGGAUUAGAUA
RNAcentral lists this ribosomal RNA (736 nucleotides) under uncultured bacterium. RNAcentral's name for it is "bacterial SSU rRNA". It matches the Rfam family "Bacterial small subunit ribosomal RNA", at positions 51 to 784 of the family's 1533-position model. The record is from RNAcentral.